AGGUGCUUAGUGCAGUAGUCUAGCACGCCAGCCCAAGAAACUUACGAGAUCUGCGUUCGAUUCCCAGAGCAGCCA
Molecule: non-coding RNA, 75 nt
Organism: Mycena amicta
Lineage: Eukaryota; Fungi; Basidiomycota; Agaricomycetes; Agaricales; Mycenaceae
Source: the annotation of a GenBank genome assembly